Osmerus eperlanus (European smelt) is the source of this 2787-nucleotide long non-coding RNA. RefSeq lists it as uncharacterized. The record is from RefSeq and is a predicted model, not a curated record. The transcript is spliced from 4 exons. Lineage: Eukaryota; Metazoa; Chordata; Actinopteri; Osmeriformes; Osmeridae.
UUUGAAAUCAUCACAAUAGAGUCUAGGAAACAGGUGAGCCGCCAUAUAGUCAAAAAGACGUGGUUGAGGACGGGACCAAAAAGAAUGCGCCUUAAGGAAAGCUAUCCCAAAAGCAUGAAGAGAGAUGAGCAGAGGGCUGUUCUACAAAGAAAGGGAGAAUGCCAGUCGCUACAUACGUCAUUACUUCUUUGAGUGGUAUUGGAGACAUCUGGCCAUAGAAGAAUUCUCUCAGAUGUCAGAAAACGUCAUCUGGCCAGUGUUAACAACUGACCCACUUUCACAGACAAGGAAACGUGUGACCUCAAUACCUCCUGGAAGGCGGCCAUUCCAGUUAGCCUAACACCAGUUAAACACAACACAAGUCAACUCAACACACCACAACCCUGUCAACACAUAAUGUCACAUUCAUGUUCUCAGCUUAACAGCUGAUCCGGUAAGUACCAAUGAGGUAAGCAUUUUGCGUGACGUUUUCCUAAGCAAAUAGAAACCUAACUUCCUUAUUGCUGUACGUUGCCCUUGGCAGUGACAACCCUGUAUUUGUCUGUAGAGGCAGAGUUGGUCGUACGUCAGGCUGUCGGCACCCGUAGCUGCUUCAAAACACAACAAGAACAGGACCUGACCCACGGCUGUGUCUCCAGUAGGGUCGGCUUCACCUGUAAACAUUCGAAGACAAAAGGGACGCCCUCUUCCUGAACAACAGAGCUGAACUCUCCCACACAGAGAUAAUUCAGUUUAGGCGGUGGACUGGAGUCGAGAGAUGACUGUGCUAAAAUUAAACGACGGUGCCAGGCCGGUCUGCUGGAGGAAGAGGUAAAAAUAGCCGAGUGGGUAGCGGCCUGUUCACAGACAUUGCUAGCAGAGCAGCACCUACGCAGCAUAAUUGGGAAAUCCUCUUACACUCAUGUAUACACAAUCUGUUCUUUUUUUCUCCAAAAAUGUUUGAUCGUGUUGCAGUCUGUCCGCCUAAAAGUACGCCAUAAACUGUGCCAACAGACCUGUCUAACGGCUGAAGUGUGUUGAAAUGCAAUAUUUCUGCUUGCACGCUAGUUCUUGUCUCUGUCGGUUCAAUUCAGCAUCAAGCCGCUUCUUUGAUCUCGCGGAGCGUUUAUGGUACAGUGUGUGUGUCACCAGAGGCUGGUGAGGAGCCGCAGCAGUAAAGCCACGUUUCAGCUGCGGCAGUGUCAUCCCGUCUUCUGUCAAAUCACGCCGCUAGGCUCAACAGCGCUCCCUCUGGGAGGGACUGGCUCUCUCUCUCGCGCAACAUCGUCAGUGGUUACUCUUAGUCGUGAGCACUCUUAAGGUCAUUUAAGACAUACUGUAGUGGUGCCACGCAAUAACUUUUUUCUCUUUCUUUCAGAGGCGAUGACGAGGCCAACUGCUUUUUUUGUGGGGGGCGUCCGCCCGUCUUGACAUCCUUCAACUCCACCAUUAUCGGUCUGAAUGUGCCCCCCCCCUCCUGGCCCAGAUAAAUUAGGAGCUCUAAUCUGUAAGAGGAUUAAUGCGUCCAUGCUCCUGUAUUCACCUGCCACCUAACUCAGCUCCGCCACCCUUUUGUUACGUCAUCGAGCCACGCCAGACAUCCGGCCUGGAAUGCCCCGUGCUCCAGUUGUCACGGCACCACGCACGCUGCCCCCCCCCCCCAGAGCAGCAUGGGAGAGGUUAGAUCCUCAUCUUGCUGGUAAGACAGAUGUCCACGGAGAUGUCGAAUAAGCCUCUUCUCUCAUCCCGAGGAUUUGAUGUGCAUCUCAGAAAACAAGCAUCCACCGUCCGUGUUGCAUUGGAGCAAUGACAAUUUGGGUGCGUUCAUAGAGGGGUAGAGAGAGUGGCCGGUCUUAAAAGAACAGCGGGUGACGUUUGACACGAGAUCCGAAGUAUAAAGUAACAGAAUGUUUGGUUUGGCUUGAAAAGGGACGGAUGCUCCUUUAAAAGCGGAGGAUGGUCAGGUGACAUGGCGAGCAGAAACAAAGUCAGCUGUAGAGAUAGCAACUGUGAGCAACAGACUGGGAGAAAGGCAAAGAGAAAGAGAGAUAUGGAGAAGGAGGAAUGACUAAAAAGAACUGUGUAUUACAUACAUAAAUUUGAGAAGAGCGAGCGAGAGAGAGAGAGAGAGAGGGGGGGGGGGGAGAGAGGGAGAGAGAGAAGCUUGGCCCUCCAGCUCUAUUGCAGCAGCAGUCGGGAGCUACAGCAGUGAGGCUCGAUGCUGUAAUUGUUCCUGAAGCUUCUGUUAUUCUAUCCAGCUAUGUAAACAGGAACUAUUACUCGAGCUAGGUAGGUAAACAGGAACUAUUUAUUUAACUAGCUAGGGUAGAACUAGAGUAUUACAUUGCUGUGACUCUAGCUAGAUGUGUAAAUGUGUUAUAGUUACGGUCAUGCAAAUGUUGUAUCGUGGCAAAGUGCCCUGCGCUGUGGCGUCACAGCAAGAACAUCCUGAGUCAAUUCCUGUUAAUGUUUGGUGCUUGGGUGGGCUCCCGGGCCUUUCUGUGUGGAGUUUGUAUGUUCUCCCUGUGCUUUCAUGGGUUUACUCCACAAAUAUUUCUGAGUAUAGAAAUAUGCAAAACAGAUAGCUAUUCUGCCAAUGUCCCUGGUCAGGCCUUGGCCACCUUGAUAUGACUUAUCACAACUCCUGGGUGGCCUUGUAGGAAGGACAAGAAAAAUGGGACCAGCAGCGGUUGACCCCACAGCAUGUGUGUGUCCCAUGAUCAAUAAGUGUUUCUUCUUCUUCUAAACAGGAGCUGUGUCUGCAGGAAAGGCUGCUACGUCUCACAGGCAACUGGGAACUUUGGCAAG